Molecule: ribosomal RNA, 496 nt
Filed under: uncultured bacterium
Lineage: Bacteria
Description: bacterial SSU rRNA
Rfam family: Bacterial small subunit ribosomal RNA
Source: RNAcentral
AGAGUUUGAUCCUGGCUCAGGAUGAACGCUAGCGGCAGGCCUAAUACAUGCAAGUCGAACGCUCAGUAGCAAUACUGGGAGUGGCGCACGGGUGCGUAACGCGUACACAAUCUACCUCUAAGCGGGGGACACCUCCUGGAAACGGGGAUUAAUACCGCAUAAUAUGCCGAAGUCGCAUGACUUUGGUAUUAAAGCAGCAAUGCACUUAGAGAUGAGUGUGCGUCCCAUUAGGUAGUUGGUGGGGUAACGGCUCACCAAGCCUAUGAUGGGUAGCCGGUCUGAGAGGAUGGUCGGCCACACGGGCACUGAGACACGGGCCCGACUCCUACGGGAGGCAGCAGUAAGGAAUAUUGGUCAAUGGUGGAAACACUGAACCAGCCAUGCCGCGUGGAGGAAUAAGGCCCUACGGAUUGUAAACUCCUUUUGACGAGGAAGAAAAUGUUAGAUUUAUCCAAUUUUGACGGUACUCGUAGAAUAAGCACCGGCUAACUCCGUG